GAUUGGCAAUCUGGAGAGUGCUGAAACAGCUUCAGCCACCGAAGGGGCAUGCGGAAAGUUGACCGUAAAACUCUCAGGUAAAAGGACAGAGGGGUAAGU
Nitrosomonas europaea ATCC 19718 is the source of this 99-nucleotide regulatory RNA element. It matches the Rfam family "Glycine riboswitch aptamer". From Rfam's summary of the family: This family represents the bacterial glycine riboswitch. Glycine riboswitches usually consist of two metabolite-binding aptamers domains with similar structures in tandem. Lineage: Bacteria; Pseudomonadati; Pseudomonadota; Betaproteobacteria; Nitrosomonadales; Nitrosomonadaceae. The record is from Rfam.